AUGCAGCUUCCGUUCUACCUGUUUGUUACUCCUAGACUUAACAGCACCUACUUGUGGGGAGAGAGGGAGGGGUUUGUGGGGGGGGACAGAGAGAAAGCAUCCACUUUGGGGCAAAAACCACCCACCAAAUGGUGGAACUCGUUUCUGUUGCAUUGGACUGCAAAGCAAUUUCUCUUUAAUAUAUACAUUUUUAAUUUAAUGAACGCUAAAAGCCUGUGUGGUGCAUCUGCGUGUCCCCCCGCCCCCAAUUUCCACCUACCCUCCUCUCCGAACGGGGGCCUGGCCUUCCUGCUGCAGUUAUGGUGUGGUAUUCUCCUUCCUGGCGUGGCGGCUUCACCCAGGCCCUCGCGGCUGCUGCUGCUGCUGCUGCUCCCUCCUCCUCCUCUUCCUCCUCCCACCCUUCUUUCGCCUCGCUCUCUUGCCGAGCACUGCAUAUGCGAGAAGCACACCGGCCUUGCGCUGAACCUGAGCUGGAGUGGAGUGCAGGUCCUGGCCAGCUUUCGGAAGGGCCCCCGUUGGCGUCACCUCAGCUGCCAAAGCAAGGGAGGGUUCGGUAGCGCCCCGGGGGGGGGAAGCGUCCGGAGUCCCCAGAGCCGGCCAAAAGCUUUUGGGUCCGAGACAGAGGAGUCUGGCCUCCCCCACCCCUUUCUCCAAGACAGGCAGAUUUCCUCUGACUUGGAACACAAACCAGGAUGCGGAAGAGACCCGGACCGUUCUGUCCUGGGGCUGUCUCUCCUGAACUCUUGGAAACGAUGGCUUUGGAUCCUUGCCUCUUCCACCCCGCGAGGGCUGCUGCCUUUUCCUCUCGGAGAAAGGGGGCUCUUCACCCUCGACAUCGAUAGGGCAGGCGGGGCUCAAUCCUCUUCCUGUUGGCGCUGGGCCCCCUUUCGCCACCCGGUUGGCGCCGCUGAGAGACUCUUAUGUUGGGUCACUGAAGCGUUGGGGCAUGGUGGUUGGGGCAUCCGGCCGUGGCGCCAGAGGUUGGCGGUUCAGCUCCUCCUUGACAGGGGCUGA
This 1014-nucleotide long non-coding RNA is filed under the name Pogona vitticeps (central bearded dragon). Its description in RNAcentral is "lncRNA (ENSPVIG00000019942.1)". The record is from RNAcentral. Lineage: Eukaryota; Metazoa; Chordata; Lepidosauria; Squamata; Agamidae.